CAGGGAGACAAAACUGAUCUUGAUGUCUGAGUGAAUUUAUUCUUAGACCAUGAUCCUGUCACCUUAGGUCGAUCGGUACCUCAGAUUUUUUGUCUAAAUUACUGAUUUCUUAGUGUUUAGUUCAAUUGAUUUCUGUUCCUAAACUUUGUCUAGGUCACACCCCACAAAGGUUACUCCUGGGCCAUUAGCUCAGGUGGUUAGAGCGCACCCCUGAUAAGGGUGAGGUCCCUGGUUCAAGUCCAGGAUGGCCCAUUCGGUUUUGGGGGUUUAGCUCAGUUGGUAGAGCGCCUGCUUUGCAAGCAGGAUGUCAGCGGUUCGAGUCCGCUAACCUCCACUGGCCGACCUCCUGUAAUAGCCAAUUAUGGGACAACUUUGUUAGAUGUGACUUUGAUUUGUUCCCGCUGAGGGAACCUAGCUUCUUUUCAUUCGUAACUCUAUUUUUCAUGAGGUAAGGCUGAAAGGAUGCUGGGCUCGCUGUAAUUUUAUGAUUACAGGUUUUCAGCAGAACCUUGACAACUGCAUAGGUAAGUCUGGAAAAAUAAAGCAUCUCAUGGAUGCAUUUUUCUAAUUAGCUCUUAAUUUUUAAUUAAUGAGCUCUCUAGGAAAGUGUUUAAUUCUUGAGCAAGAGCCGAGACUCUAAAACAUAUCUUUUAUCUUUUUAUAGAUAAGAGUUAGAUCUUUUAUUCAUACAUAGUUAGAUUUGAUUUGAAAUUUAGUUUUCUAUAAUUUCGAAUUGAUCUACUUAGUAAGAAUAUUGAAAAUGCGUUUUCAACAACGUUUAUAUGUUUUAGAGAUUAUAU
This 800-nucleotide transfer RNA is filed under the name uncultured cyanobacterium. Its description in RNAcentral is "partial 16S-23S ribosomal RNA intergenic spacer". The stretch from base 262 to 334 matches the Rfam family "tRNA". The record is from RNAcentral. Lineage: Bacteria; Bacillati; Cyanobacteriota.